RNAcentral lists this ribosomal RNA (468 nucleotides) under uncultured bacterium. RNAcentral describes it as "partial 16S ribosomal RNA". It matches the Rfam family "Bacterial small subunit ribosomal RNA", at positions 28 to 507 of the family's 1533-position model. The record is from RNAcentral.
GAUGAACGCUGGCGGCGUGCUUAACACAUGCAAGUCGAACGGAAAGGCCCAAGCUUGCUUGGGUACUCGAGUGGCGAACGGGUGGGUAACACGUGGGUGAUCUGCCCUGCACUUCGGGAUAAGCCUGGGAAACUGGGUCUAAUACCGGAUAGGACGAUGGUUUGGAUGCCAUUGUGGAAAGUUUUUUCGGUGUGGGAUGAGCUCGCGGCCUAUCAGCUUGUUGGUGGGGUAAUGGCCUACCAAGGCGUCGACGGGUAGCCGGCCUGUGAGGGUGUACGGCCACAUUGUGACUGAGAUACGGCGCAGACUCCUACGGGAGGCAGCAGUGGGGAAUAUUGCACAAUGGGCGCAAGCCUGAUGCAGCGACGCCGCGUGGGGGAUGACGGCCUUCGGGUUGUAAACUCCUUUCGCUAGGGACGAAGCGUUUUUGUGACGGUACCUGGAGAAGAAGCACCGGCUAACUACGUG